UGGGGAAUAUUGCACAAUGGGCGCAAGCCUGAUGCAGCCAUGCCGCGUGUAUGAAGAAGGCCUUCGGGUUGUAAAGUACUUUCAGCGGGGAGGAAGGUGUUGUGUUUAAUAACCACAGCAAUUGACGUUACCCGCAGAAGAAGCACCGGCUAACUCCGUGCCAGCAGCCGCGGUAAUACGGAGGGUGCAAGCGUUAAUCGGAAUUACUGGGCGUAAAGCGCACGCAGGCGGUCUGUCAAGUCGGAUGUGAAAUCCCCGGGCUCAACCUGGGAACUGCAUCCGAAACUGGCAGGCUUGAGUCUUGUAGAGGGGGGUAGAAUUCCAGGUGUAGCGGUGAAAUGCGUAGAGAUCUGGAGGAAUACCGGUGGCGAAGGCGGCCCCCUGGACAAAGACUGACGCUCAGGUGCGAAAGCGUGGGGAGCAAACA
This 427-nucleotide ribosomal RNA is filed under the name uncultured bacterium. RNAcentral describes it as "partial 16S ribosomal RNA". It matches the Rfam family "Bacterial small subunit ribosomal RNA", at positions 355 to 774 of the family's 1533-position model. The record is from RNAcentral.